RNAcentral lists this ribosomal RNA (805 nucleotides) under Fomitiporia mediterranea. Its description in RNAcentral is "eukaryotic LSU rRNA". The stretch from base 347 to 500 matches the Rfam family "5.8S ribosomal RNA". Lineage: Eukaryota; Fungi; Basidiomycota; Agaricomycetes; Hymenochaetales; Hymenochaetaceae. The record is from RNAcentral.
GGAAGUAAAAGUCGUAACAAGGUUUCCGUAGGUGAACCUGCGGAAGGAUCAUUAACGAGUUGGAACGUGGAGGUUGAUGCUGGUGCAUAUAUAGUGUACAUGUGCUCGCCUUCACACUCUUCAUCCACUCAACCCCUGUGCACUUUAUCAGAGUUAGUAAUAGUAUUGUGGUGGCAGCCGUUUGUUAUUCAUUGUUAGAAGCGGGGUAACUACUUUCUAGCAGUAGUAAUAAUAACAAUCUUGGUUCUACUACUAUUACUGUGAACACUUUGACUUUUACUUACACAAACACUUUGCUUGUUCUUGUGAAUGUGUAAUGCUCCUUGUGAGCGAAAUACAAAUAUACAACUUUCAACAACGGAUCUCUUGGCUCUCGCAUCGAUGAAGAACGCAGCGAAAUGCGAUAAGUAAUGUGAAUUGCAGAAUUCAGUGAAUCAUCGAAUCUUUGAACGCACCUUGCGCCCCUUGGUAUUCCGAGGGGCAUGCCUGUUUGAGUGUCAUGUAAUUCUCAAUCCUCUUUUUUCUUAAUUGAAGAGGGGGCUUGGACUUGGAGGUUAAUAUAUAUACAUGCUGGUACUGUCUGUAUCGGCUCCUCUAAAAUGCAUUAGCUGGACUGUAGUUCGCAUUGUUUGGUGUAGUAAUAGUUUUCUAUCUAUAUUCACUACAGUGCUUACUUAGACUGUCUGCUUCUAAUAGUCUGCCUAUAUGUCGGACAGGUACUCUGUUACCUUAAACCAUUUGACUCCUUUGACCUCAAAUCAGGUAGGACUACCCGCUGAACUUAAGCAUAUCAAUAAGCGGAGGA